Non-coding RNA from Arachis ipaensis, 640 nucleotides. Lineage: Eukaryota; Viridiplantae; Streptophyta; Magnoliopsida; Fabales; Fabaceae. The record is from RefSeq and is a predicted model, not a curated record.
CAGAAAAACCAAAGAAAGACGUGUUAGAGAAGAGAGCCUAACCUCACCGCCAAGCUCACCGUAGCGGUCGCUGCCGCCGUCGCUGCUACAGUUCAGAUCAAGCAACUGUGCUCUUUGACUCAGAUCCUUCUAUCCCUUUCUAUGUUGUUCAGAGAAGAGAAAGGCUCAUGCCUAUAGCUUUCUAUCUUUCUCUCUCAUUUUCGAUUUAGGGCUCACGAACUCGCUCUGACUCAGAUCCUUCUUGCAGCUCCGAUCUGCUCCUUCAGACUCGUUCUCAUUUUACAAGACAAGGCAUAUACAUAUAUGAAUUAAAUAGUCUCACAGUCUUGGAGACUAUUGACACGCUGCCAAACAUUGGUGAGGCUGGAAUUAAUACUGAUGAGAUUCCGUUCAAUUAGUAGAGUUUGUGAUAAGCAUUACUUUUGUAAUGGGUGCAUGUCUAAUUUUUAUAAAUUGUGUUCUUGCAUAUAUAGCAUUGUCAGUACUAAAAAUAACAAUGUAGAACCUCUCAUUUUGAUAUCUUGUAUUAUCCAUAUGGUUAUUUGGUAAACUUUCUUCACAGAGCUUUGUGCAUUUUCCACUUCUUGGGAUUAUCCUGGUUGAAUAUAUGUAUCUUUUAAUUUGUUAAUAUUAUUCGUGG